AUUGAACGCUGGCGGAAUGCUUUACACAUGCAAGUCGAGCGGCAGCGCGGGGCAACCUGGCGGCGAGCGGCGAACGGGUGAGUAACAUAUCGGAACGUACCCAGUCGUGGGGGAUAACUAUCCGAAAGGAUAGCUAAUACCGCAUACGACCUGAGGGUGAAAGCGGGGGACCGAAAGGCCUCGCGCGAUUGGAGCGGCCGAUAUCGGAUUAGCUAGUUGGUGAGGUAAAGGCUCACCAAGGCGACGAUCCGUAGCUGGUCUGAGAGGACGACCAGCCACACUGGAACUGAGACACGGUCCAGACUCCUACGGGAGGCAGCAGUGGGGAAUUUUGGACAAUGGGGGCGAACCCUGAUCCAGCCAUUCCGCGUGAGUGAAGAAGGC
This 384-nucleotide ribosomal RNA is filed under the name uncultured bacterium. RNAcentral describes it as "bacterial SSU rRNA". It matches the Rfam family "Bacterial small subunit ribosomal RNA", at positions 29 to 415 of the family's 1533-position model. The record is from RNAcentral.